GAUCCUGGCUCAGGACGAACGCUGGCGGCGUGCCUAAUACAUGCAAGUCGAGCGGAUCUGUUUGAAGCUUGCUUCAGACAGGUUAGCGGCGGACGGGUGAGUAACACGUAGGCAACCUGCCCGCAAGACCGGGAUAACGUAGGGAAACUUACGCUAAUACCGGAUAGGGCAUCCUCUCGCAUGAGAGGGUGCGGAAAGGUGGCGCAAGCUACCACUUGCGGAUGGGCCUGCGGCGCA
RNAcentral lists this ribosomal RNA (237 nucleotides) under uncultured bacterium. Its description in RNAcentral is "partial 16S ribosomal RNA". It matches the Rfam family "Bacterial small subunit ribosomal RNA", at positions 15 to 240 of the family's 1533-position model. The record is from RNAcentral.